AGCAAUACAAGGCAUACGGCUCAGUAACGCGUAGUCAACCUAACCUAUGGACGGGAAUAACCUCGGGAAACUGAGAAUAAUGCCCGAUAGAACAUUAUGCCUGGAAUGGUUUAUGUUCCAAAUGAUUUAUCGCCGUAGGAUGGGACUGCGGCCUAUCAGUUUGUUGGUGAGGUAAUGGCCCACCAAGACUAUUACAGGUACGGGCUCUGAGAGGAGUAGCCCGGAGAUGGGUACUGAGACACGGACCCAGGCCCUAUGGGGCGCAGCAGGCGAGAAAACUUUGCAAUGUGCGAAAGCACGACAAGGUUAAUCCGAGUGGUUUCUGCUAAAGAAACCUUUUGUCAGUCCUAGAAACACUGAUGAAUAAGGGGUGGGCAAGUUCUGGUGUCAGCCGCCGCGGUAAAACCAGCACCUCAAGUGGUCAGGAUGAUUAUUGGGCCUAAAGCAUCCGUAGCCGGCUCUGUAAGUUUUCGGUUAAAUCUGUACGCUCAACGUACAGGCUGCCGGGAAUACUGCAGAGCUAGGGAGUGGGAGAGGUAGACGGUACUCGGUAGGAAGGGGUAAAAUCCUUUGAUCUAUUGAUGACCACCUGUGGCGAAGGCGGUCUACCAGAACACGUCCGACGGUGAGGGAUGAAAGCUGGGGGAGCAAACCGGAUUAGAUACCCGGGUAGUCCCAGCUGUAAACUAUGCAAACUCAGUGAUGCAUUGGCUUGUGGCCAAUGCAGUGCUGCAGGGAAGCCGUUAAGUUUGCCGCCUGGGAAGUACGUACGCAAGUAUGAAACUUAAAGGAAUUGGCGGGGGAGCACCACAAGGGGUGAAGCCUGCGGUUCAAUUGGAGUCAACGCCGGA
Molecule: ribosomal RNA, 851 nt
Filed under: uncultured crenarchaeote
Lineage: Archaea; Thermoproteati; Thermoproteota
Description: bacterial SSU rRNA
Rfam family: Archaeal small subunit ribosomal RNA
Source: RNAcentral